This 193-nucleotide small RNA is filed under the name Pan troglodytes (chimpanzee). Its description in RNAcentral is "processed transcript". The record is from RNAcentral. Lineage: Eukaryota; Metazoa; Chordata; Mammalia; Primates; Hominidae.
CUUUCCCAGAAGUCCGUCUCUGAGUCCAGCCCGGGGGACAGCACCGCCAAGCCUCCGGAAGGCUCUGCAGGUGUGGCCCGGUCCCAGCCUCCAGUGGCCCACGCCGGGCAGGUCUAUGGGGAGCAGCCACCCAAGAAGCUGGAGCCAGCAUCGGAGGGCAAGGCUAACCUGGCCGUGUGGCUGUCCAUGAUUG